This 468-nucleotide ribosomal RNA is filed under the name uncultured bacterium. RNAcentral's name for it is "partial 16S ribosomal RNA". It matches the Rfam family "Bacterial small subunit ribosomal RNA", at positions 28 to 507 of the family's 1533-position model. The record is from RNAcentral.
GACGAACGCUGGCGGCGUGCUUAACACAUGCAAGUCGAACGGAAAGGCCCUGCUUUUGUGGGGUGCUCGAGUGGCGAACGGGUGAGUAACACGUGAGUAACCUGCCCUUGACUUUGGGAUAACUUCAGGAAACUGGGGCUAAUACCGGAUAGGAGCUCCUGCUGCAUGGUGGGGGUUGGAAAGUUUCGGCGGUUGGGGAUGGACUCGCGGCUUAUCAGCUUGUUGGUGGGGUAGUGGCUUACCAAGGCUUUGACGGGUAGCCGGCCUGAGAGGGGGACCGGCCACAUGGGGACUGAGAUACGGCCCAGACUCCUACGGGAGGCAGCAGGGGGGAAUAUUGCACAAUGGGCGGAAGCCUGAUGCAGCAACGCCGCGUGCGGGAUGACGGCCUUCGGGUUGUAAACCGCUUUCGCCUGUGACGAAGCGUGAGUGACGGUAAUGGGUAAAGAAGCACCGGCUAACUACGUG